CGUCGUGUGUCCCUGUCGGAGCAGCGACGGAGCAGCCUGCAGUGGUACAGAACAGCUUUGCUGGCCGAGCUGCCUUCACACCGGGGAGUGCUUCACCAGCAUAGUAUAUAGCAGCUGUAUCCCUUAAAAGCUCCCUGGGAAAACAGAGCAGGCGGAGAAAGAGAAUAUCACAGCUUCUGGUUCGUGUUUGAGGUUUCACCCACUUUUUCUUAGUGACCAAGAGGUGCCACAAAAGGCAUUUGGUUAACAGUCAGAAAUGUUGGCUCCAAAGGCACCGAUAUUUCAGCAGCCACCACAUGUUGAAGGCAGCAUGGAGCGCCCUUCCAUGAUCCCCGUGAUGUGUCCCUGCCGAUCUGUGGCUCGCAGCUCCUGCACGGGCUGAUCGAGGCGUGGGUGACGGCGAUGACACACAGGUGGUUGCAAACCAGAGCUGCCAAAACUCUUGCUGAGGACGGGCUCUAGACAAAGUCACUUCAUGUGAGUGGCAUUAGGGCCAGAACAGUGUUGGAAACCAUGAAAAAGAGUUUGAAGAGUGUAAAGAAAUGUUAUAUAGACAAUUUAUUAUCUUCCGAGUUUAGGUCACUACUGAAAUAUAAAUUCAUAUUAUCAAUGGAUUAAUAAAAGAGUAGCAGUCUGGUCUAUUAGCCCUUAUGCAUGGAAUGAUCUUUGCAUUUAGCUUCACUACACACCCGCACAUCCAGAAAACAUUGAAAUAUUUAGUCAAGAAGUGGCAACCAGUACCUACAGGUGAUAUAUUGUCUCCAUAAUCAGCUUUACACAUUGCUUCCUUCAGUGCUUCUGUGGAUACUUGUAUGAUCUGUCACCUUCAGCAAGGGGCCACUGCCUUAGAGCUUUGGAAAAAGCAAGCGCUUAACCCAUUGCCUCCAAAAGAAACAGAGAGAAGUGGGGGAAGAACAACCGCCGGUGCUGUCAGGGAUGAACGUGUGAGGCAACACGGGUCUGACCCCAGAACCCGGUGGCGGGAGCUGCUGCAGCUCUGGAGCCGAUGGGAGCGGGACUUGUUCUAUCAUCGCUUCGUCUUUUUUCUUUUCUCCCCAUUUUUGCACCUCGUAGCAUUGUUUGUUCUUAGUUUCAACUGUCUUCAUGAAAUUGCCAUCACCCUCACAACUUUAAGAUCCCUCUCCUGAAAAUGGAAGCCUUUUGAUCUAUUUAUCUGUGAUUUUUUCUUACUUUCAUGAGGCUUAGCAGAUGAGGCGGCAGAGGGAGAAACAUGGCGCUAAUUCCUGCGUCACUUACAAGAUUGCUAACUGCCUUCACUGCCCUAAUAGCGACCUGCAAUUUAAGCACAGGGGAUGGUCCUUUUCUGAGGAAAUAAGCCGAGCAUUUCCCUCAUGUCCUGGGGGUGCCCGGGAGGACGUGGCCGGGGCAGCCCUGGUGCGGCCCCUCACGGCGCCGGCCCCCCCGCUCCCGCCAACGCGAGGCCCCGCUGGGGGAGUGAGGGACGAGGCCUCGGCCCUGCGGUGCCGACCGCCCCCUCACAGCUGAGUCGCUGAGUCUCUUUGGGGAUAUUUUUUUUUUUUUUUUUAAAUAAAAACUUUCACUGUUGUUUCCCAGGGCGGGCCGGUUCUCGGCAGGGUGAGGGGCGGAGCAGGUCCCGCGGCCUCUCUCUCCUCAUCCUCCCCUCAGCCCUCGGGGCUCCCGCCGCCCCGUGCGUGUGAGGAUUUCGCAAGCUGUCCUGUGAGAAAGGUCAUUCCCAGCCUGGUUCCGCGGGCUUCACGGACAUCAAUGCCCCCAGGUAAAGAAAUGUCAUGAAAGCAUUUUCACGGUUGUACUCAUACCUGUUUUUUUACUACCUUGUAUUAACACCGUGGUGGUGCCAGCCUGCUCCAGCCGCCUGGAGAGGCGGUGCCGAGUGUUGGCUGAGUUGUGGGAGAAUGUGCAGGGGAGGUUUUCUUGAUUUUGCUUCUCCUGAUGUUCCCAAACGCGUGUCAGUCCCUGCAUGGUCCCAGUGCUGCAGCAUCGCGGGCUUCAUGUGGGACAUGUCCUGCUGGAAGAGGCACCACCUUUUCUAAAAAAUGUUAGGCCCAAAAUCUUCUAGUAACAACUAAAAAUCUUACUUUGAGGUUAAAAAAUAACGUAUCUAUCUAUGUCUUCAGUUUUACCUGACUGGAAGAGGAGCCUGGCUCCCAGCAAGACCCUUCCCUCACAGUAAAUGAGCUGGGCUCCUCUUUACCCAGCCUUUCAUUUGAAGGGAGGGAGAGAGAAAAAACAUAUUCUUCUUUUGGUUGAAAGCAAUGCAAUAAAUAAGUGCAUCUUCUUCUUCCAGUUGUCAUUUAUAGGCACUGUUCCCCUAGAAAUCAGCUUCUGUGCAUAAAAGCUAUAAAACAUACAUGCCAUUUGCAAAAGGACACAGCUUCUACUGUACGUUUUCUGGUCUGUUCACAAGUGCAAGUCUGCCAUAGAGGGAGGGCUAAGGGAGUGUGCAAAUGGGCUCAGUUAAUGCUUUUAUAAUGCUGCUGAAGAAAUGGUCAAGAGCUUCCAUUAGCAGAAACAAUUUUGGUUGCUAAUGAGGGACAACUGAGUUUUACCCAAAGUAGGACCCAGAAACAUUUUUCUUCAUGAGGACUCCUGUAGCUUAAGACUUGAUCAAUUGUUGCGUAAUUCCUAAUAAAUAUGCAAUAUGUUACGUGGUGGUGUAUAUCCCCAAUUCUAAACCACUCAGAUUCUGCAGGUCAGCAGAAUGAGGUGUGGUGUGGAGGCAGCGGGCAGAGGGGUGGGGACACUGAGAGGAGAAGCUGGGCAGUGGGUGCCGCGCAUGAGCUUUAUUAGUUUUGCCUCUCCCUGCCUGGCCUGAUAAUUUCUGUGAUGUUGCCAAGAGCGAUUGUGUUUAAAUAAAAUCCUUCCUUUUUGUCUGGUUUCGGCAUUGAGGCCAGGGAUGUGUGCAGGUGCAGCACAGGCCAGUGCCAGGGAUGCUGUCCACUGGGUGAUGCCACACAUGGUAUUUCUCAGUUGCUGCAGGUGUUUACCAGCUGUUCCCAUCACUAGAUAAACCUGAAGUUUUGGUGACAGCCCUCUGCUGUGUGUACUUCUCAUCUGCUCUCUGGCCUGUUAGAAUGAUUUUUUUCUAAUUCCAGAUCUCUCUUUUUGUUUUUCCUACAUUUCUCUCCCCUGACCUUCCCCACACGCCGGGCAGUGUCACCCGCACAGGCCACCGGAUCCAGCGUUUGCCAGGGCUCACACAGUGACUGUGUGGUGCGAGUACGUCUGACGCAGCAGAAGCUGCUGGGUUUGAUGUGGCUUGGGAAGGGUUGUCUGGCAGCGGGCAGAGGCACAAGAGGAAUGGGAGGUUCUGCACUUGUAAUUUUUUAUAAGGCUGCAAAUCGAUUAUGUGAUGAAAGGACAUAAGAGAAGAGGAAGCUGAGAUACUUGGCACCCCACUAGGGAGAGAAGGCAACCUUUGCUGGUAGAUGUGUUUGUACGAGCAAACAGGAAUGCUAACUCUGCUUCUCUUAGUCUCUGGGAACUGCCAGAAAAGUGCAUCUUCUUUCAUGUUGUGCUGCAAAUAUGUACACAAACAUUUCUCUUGACUUCAAGGACUUAAGUAUUCACAUAUGUAAAGCUCACUAGGAUCAGAGCCUUAGAUAAUCUACUGAUACUGGAUGACCUGACUGUGCAUCAUUAGCUCAAUGAUGCACCAAGCUCAGGGAGAGGAAAAACAAGCAAACAAAACUCUAAACCAAUCCCCGAGCCCUGAAGUAUAUUCGUGUGUGUGAGAGAAAUCUGGAAGGAGGGGAGAGGAAAGCAUAGUUAAUAUGUCUACAGUUCAUUUACAAUGCUGAAAAAUAGGAUUUUUUUUUUUAAUAUAUAUUUUUUUUUUGUCAAAAAUGUUAUUGAGAAUAGAAACACAAAGUGAGAGAAGAAUCCGUAAGGAAUCCAGAAUACCCCCAUGGCAUGUGAAACCCCACUGGAUUAAAUGGAGAAGAAGCAGGUGCUGGAAAACAUAUUGAAAGCAAUACAGGUACAUGUAAGCACCAGAACUGCAAAUUGGGCCUGAAAAACCAACUUUUUAUUUGAAGGGCUGCAAGACCUUUUCUGAGACCUGUUGGUGCAUCCUAUUGAGCCAGAGCUCCCCAGCUCAGCUGUACAGAACUUCACCCAUAAGGGUGUAGAACAAAUAUUUUCUGUCCAAGAGAGACUCAUUAAUGUCUUUCAAAGCGGAUGCAAGUUUCUCAUUAUUCCUCCGCGUAGGUCUGGGGAUGGAGCCGCCUCCGGAGAUGCCCUGUGCAGAUGUCUUCAGGCAAUGUCGAUGGCAUGAAGCAGGAGUUGUUUUCACUGAAAGAUUUAUAACCUCGUAGCCUUUCCAAGCCAAGGCAACGUGUGUGGACUGAGAACCAGCAGCAAGGGUUUUCUGACUUUUCUGCGCUAUUCUCUAAUACUGACUAGCCUGGAGAAAUCAUUUUCGGUCUAAAUGUUUGCUGUGCCGGGUCCUCAGCACGAGGAAUGAAAUGUCAGGGGGUUUUCAAAGGCACCGAAUGUUUCUGACUCCUAUUUGAAUGCAAGCUGCAGGUUUUGAGUCCUGAUUAAAAAAAAGAAAGAAAGAAAAAACACACCAAAAAAACAACCACCUAAAAACCCCCAGCCCAUGGAUCUUAAUUUAGGGCUCUCCAAAUCAGAAGCCACUUUGAAAGACACGCAGAAGCAGAGAACAGCCGAUAGAUUUCCAUAUCCUGCAGGGUUUUGGCAUGAAUCCCCGUCUUUGGUUCCAGGCAGCAAAAUACAAAGAGAUGUCUGUGAAUAGGACCUCGCUGGGUGUCCAGCCCUCUGAGUGAAAUUUCCUGUGCAGAGGAUGGUCUCGGCCUACAUUUUCUAGUUAUUAUAUAGAAUUUAUUUCCUGCUAAGCUAUAAAAAAAAAGUGUAAAAAUACAACCUUUGCUGAAUUCCCACCUUAUAGAGCUACUUCGAGCUGUACAGGCAGAGUUUGUGCUGGAGAAGUUGACAUUGAAUAGGGUAGUUCAAGAGAGACACCAAAGCUGAGCAGAAACAUCCUAUAAAGAUGAUUUGUCUUGUUUGCAAUAUUUUAUCAGUUGAUCCAAAUCAGAUUUUGGAGUAAAACCAUGAAAGUCAACAACCAACACCCAGGAUGAAUGUAGCUCUUAAAGUGCCAUUGAGGCUUCUUGAGAGACACGCGUCCCAGCGACUCCUUUAGCAGUCAUUAAGCCAAUUAUCAUCCCAGUCUAUUUCCAACAAUUAUCAUUAUAGACUUUUGGGGUUUAAUCAGCUUUUUAAUUGACCUGUGAAUAAGACAGGAGAUACAACAGCCUCCCCUGAUACCUCAGGUGUAACCAUUACACACUUAGCGUUGCUGUGCACAGGAAAUCAUUUACACCAUAAUACUGAUCUGAGGCUGGGAUGUGAACAACAAUAUUCCUAUAAAUGAAGGAUAAAAAGAAGGACAAUAAAGGAGAUGAGGGGGAAGGUAGUAAUCCAUAAGGAGAAUGUCACCGCGAUUGGUGAUGUUGCUUCUGGGACUUCUUGGCCAGCAAACGGGGAAAAGAUCUUUUUUUUUUUUAUUCCAAAACUGUAUGCAACACACAGAAUAAAUUGUGACACAAAAACUUUUGACCAUCUCUUAAGUGCUACAAUUAUUGAAUUGAGUUGCAGAAAUGUCUUCAGACAAUUGCUUGGGACUUUAAAAAAGAAAUCAGCCAUUUAGGUGUAUGUCCCUCCUGCAAGCAACUAACUUUUUUAAUGCCACUUGCCUGGGUACAGCGCUGCAAAGCGGCCUGAAUGCAGCAAUUUGCGGGAUUUGGCACUGUGAGCCGCGCAAGCACUUAGCAAAAGCAAUUGUGUAGCUCUAUUGAAAAUCCCGCGUAUCAUGCUGUGGGGAGCCAGCACUUUUUAUCUGUCGGCACUGCUGGUGACAAAUAUUAAAAUAAAAAGUAUGACACUAUAGGUGCUUCAAAAUUCAAACUGCAAGUUUCCUACUGCGGGACUUCUAACCAUGUAAUAAAGUGCAGGGAAGAAAGCAGAGUUCAGACCCCAUGCUGCAAUAAAGGCAAGGAAAUCUUAAGUGUUCAAAUACAUAAUUCAUUCUCUUCUGAUACUUUCUCCCAGGUUUCCACCAGUAAAGAUUUUAAUUUGUGCCUAGAUGAUACCAUCUUUAAUUUCUCUUUUCCCUGAGCUUUGCGGUGGGUGAAGCCAAUGGUCACGACAUGUCGCAGAGCUCCUUGGCCACUGGUGAGGGUGCGAUGGCCCCGCAGGGGGGAGGAGAAGGAACCCCCAUCUCUGAGAGGCCCUGCAAGGAUGUCGCAACGGUUAACAGGAGUGAGAAACCCAAGGAAGAUUGUGGAGGCAGGAGUGACGCUGAUUACACUGGAAGAUGUUUUCAUGUCUUUAAUAUUUUUUAUUUAAUGCUGCUAUUAACUACACACUGUAAAGCAGAACCAGCAUUUGGAAAAGGUUCCUCAAGGACCUGAGUGAGGAGAGAUGUUUCAGUGGGAGACUGCAAGUAAAGAGCGUGACUCCGUUUGCAGGUCCCGGCCUUACACACAGGGGAGAAGGUGGAUGCUGAGGGCAAAAGGGUACUGGAUUGGAGGGGGUUUCUGUGCUGCUCCACAGAAAAUUGUGAGUACCCUUUUCACUGUUCUACCUGCAUACAACUCCUGGGUUAUUUUUUUUAUGAGGUUUUUAAAUGUGGAAUUGUUUCACCCCUUUAGCUUCACGGAAAUAACUUUUCUGACAAAUGUUGUAAAACUAGAUGGAGAUCCUCAAACAGAAAAGCUAAACUUGCAGGCACUAACACAAAUAACACAGAAAGUCUUUUGUGACAGGUUCUAAUUUCAGAGGUACUGCAUGCUGCAAGGUUACUGGAAUUUACAGCAGGGCAGAAAGCAGGUGCUCUAGAGAUACUGUCAGCCGGUAGCCCCCAUUUUUCAUUCAUGCCCUGUUCCCUUUGCAAGAUGAAAUAUGGUUUUGCUUAAAAAUCUUUCCUGUACUCUAUAACCAGCUUUUUAAAGAGGAAUCACCAACCAACUGGCGUUGCCGGUGUUGACUUAUUUUUAAAGGCGU
Long non-coding RNA from Columba livia (rock pigeon), 7029 nucleotides. RefSeq lists it as uncharacterized. The record is from RefSeq and is a predicted model, not a curated record. Lineage: Eukaryota; Metazoa; Chordata; Aves; Columbiformes; Columbidae. The transcript is spliced from 4 exons.